CCUACGGGUGGCAGCAGUGAGGAAUAUUGGUCAAUGGACGAGAGUCUGAACCAGCCAAGUAGCGUGAAGGAUGACUGCCCUAUGGGUUGUAAACUUCUUUUAUAUGGGAAUAAAAUGUUCCACGUGUGGGAUUUUGCAUGUACCAUAUGAAUAAGGAUCGGCUAACUCCGUGCCAGCAGCCGCGGUAAUACGGAGGAUCCGAGCGUUAUCCGGAUUUAUUGGGUUUAAAGGGUGCGUAGGUGGAUUGUUAAGUCAGUUGUGAAAGUUUGCGGCUCAACCGUAAAAUUGCAGUUGAAACUGGGAGUCUUGAGUACAUGAGAGGUGGGCGGAAUUCGUGGUGUAGCGGUGAAAUGCUUAGAUAUCACGAAGAACUCCGAUUGCGAAGGCAGCUCACUGGACUGCAACUGACGCUGAGGCUCGAAAGUGUGGGUAUCAAACAGGAUUAGAUACCCCGGUAGUC
RNAcentral lists this ribosomal RNA (460 nucleotides) under uncultured bacterium. RNAcentral's name for it is "partial 16S ribosomal RNA". It matches the Rfam family "Bacterial small subunit ribosomal RNA", at positions 338 to 795 of the family's 1533-position model. The record is from RNAcentral.